CCGGGCGGCUCCAGCAGGGGGCGCCUUGUGCUGGGAGCUCUACAGUAGUAGAGGACACGUGACUUCCUCCUGGCAGUCAUUACAGAGGUGUACAGAACCAAGUUGUGUCUGUAGAACUAAAUCAUCUCCCUUCUCAGGGGUGUGGCCACGGGUGUGGUGACCGCCAGUGUCUCCGGUGGAAGGAGGCAAGAGAGUCCGCCGCUGCAGGAGGAUGCAAGGUCUCCGCUCAUGUCUACGACGCUCAUUGCUUUUAAUGCACUGUCAACUUGUGACAACCUGGUGCGGUACGGCGGCUGCGAGCCACUCAAGAUGUGUCAGGACUUGGACGUGGAUUUUUUCUUAGAUGCAAAGGAAAAUUGGCCCAAACCAGGUGACAAUAAAGUUUUCUCUCUCCGUGGUGACUGAGAAAUAAUGAUCAGCAAGCAUCUCAGGAAUCUGUCGUCUUAGCAGGAAAGUCUUUGGAACAUGUCGCUCUGCUUAAGUUUCAUCCAUGUCAAGACAUUCUUUAUCUUGGACAUUCAUGAGCAGAAGUGGUGUGUAAUGUGGGGAUUUUGCAUUCCAAAAUGGACCAUUCAAAAAAAAUCCUCUUAAUUUUGUUAAAUUUUUCA
Molecule: long non-coding RNA, 608 nt
Organism: Nerophis ophidion (straightnose pipefish)
Lineage: Eukaryota; Metazoa; Chordata; Actinopteri; Syngnathiformes; Syngnathidae
Exons: 5
Source: RefSeq, a predicted model, not a curated record